AGCCUGAGAGACGGCUACCAGUUCUAAGGAACGCAGCAGGCGCGCAAAUUCCACAAUGACAGUAAACUGUUGAUGUAGUGACAAGAGGUAACGGGGCGGUCCUCUAUGAGGCCCGUCAUUGUAUUGAGUAAAACUCAAAAUAUUUAACGAAACCAAUUGGAGGGCAAGUCUGGUGCCAGCAGCCGCGGUAAUUCCAGCUCCAAAAGCAUAUAUUAAAGUUGUUGCGGUUAAAAGCUCGUAGUUGGAUCCAUGACCUCGGAGGGCGGUCCCCCACUGGGUGCGUACUGCUGCUCCGAGUCCUAUCUGUCAGUUUGUCUGUGUUGCCUUUAAUCGGGUGGCACAGGUGACUGACGUGUUUACUUUGAAAAAAUUAGAGUGUCUAAAGCAGGCGUUGAAUGCCUGAAUAGUGGUGCAUGGAAUAAUGGAAUAGGAUCUCGGUUCUAUUUUGUUGGUUCAAGAGCAUGAGAAAAUGAUUAAGAGGGACAGACGGGGGCAUUUGUAUUGCUGCGUUAGAGGUGAAAUUCUUGGAUCGUAGCAAGACAAACUACUGCGAAGGCAUUUGCCAAGAAUGUUUUCAUUAAUCAAGAACGAAAGUUAGAGGUUCGAAGGCGAUCAGAUACCGCCCUAGUUCUAACCGUAAACCAUGUCGACUAGCUAUCUGUCAGCGUUAAUAAUGACCUGACAGGCAGCUUACCGGAAACGAAAGUUUCUCGAUUCCGGGGGUAGUAUGGUUGCAAAGCUGAAACUUGAAGGAAUUGACGGAAGGGCACCACCAGGAGUGGAGCCUGCGGCUUAAUUUGACCCAACACGGGAAAACUCACCCGGCCCGGACACCGUAAGGAUUGACAGAUUAAUAGCUCUUUCUCGAUUUGGUGAUUGGUGGUGCAUGGCCGUUCUUAGUUGGUGGAGCGAUUUGUCUGGUUAAUUCCGAUAACGAACGAGAUUCUAACUUACUAACUAGUUCCACGAUCCUUGUGGUCCUAAAUACUUCUUAGAGGGAAAACCGGCAUUUAGUCGAACGAGAUUGAGCAAUAACAGGUCUGUGAUGCCCUUAGAUGUCCGGGGCUGCACGCGUGCUACACUGAAGGAAUCAGCGUGUUUUUCCCUUGCCUGUAAUGGCUGGGUAACCGACUGAAUCUCCUUCGUGCUAGGGAUAGAUCAUUGAAACUAGUGAUCUUCAACUUGGAAUUCCUGGUACGUUUGAGUCAUAAGCUCAAGCAGAUUACGUCCCUGCCCUUUGUACACACCGCCCGUCGCUACUACCGACUGGCAAUAUCUUUGAGACACUUGGAGCGGCCGUGAGCUACCCUAACCGGUAACUCACGGCUGCGAAAAGGUUCGAAAAGGUUUUGCUGGAGGAAGUAAAAGUCGUAACAAGGUU
Molecule: ribosomal RNA, 1381 nt
Filed under: metagenome
Description: SSU rRNA
Rfam family: Eukaryotic small subunit ribosomal RNA
Source: RNAcentral